This 1016-nucleotide long non-coding RNA is filed under the name Pongo abelii (Sumatran orangutan). RNAcentral's name for it is "lincRNA". The record is from RNAcentral. Lineage: Eukaryota; Metazoa; Chordata; Mammalia; Primates; Hominidae.
GGCCACUGAGGCCUCCCCGUUCACCUCCCAGAGGCUGCCACUUUCUUCAGGGCUAGCAGAUGAAGGCAGCAAGGAAAACACCACCACAAGACCGACUUUAGGCUGGAGCUGAUGAUGCCACACGGAAAAUAGACUCAGAAAUGAAACUCAACUAAAGGUAAAAGAUGUCUGGAACAUCUCCAAGAAAGCCAGAGUCAGCCUCUAAACUUUGCAUCAAGAAUGGCAAUGGCUUCCCUGAGGGCCCAGGGACGCUUGGCAGCUGUGAGGGAUCCCCUUCUCUGCUAUCAAGGAACUGGACACUUCUCCUGUCCCUUCCCACAAGGGGCUUCCUGGAGCUCCUGCAACCCCAGGCAUUAGUUCCAGUGCAGUUCUAGGAUCAGAUCAAUUCACUCGACAACAAGAGAAACAAAUGGAGAUUCCUACACAAAGACUUUCAAGCACAAAGAAAUCCUGCUGCCUAUAAAGCAGAGCUGCCUCAGCUCUUGAUGAACGACAGAAAAUACCACCUACUGCCAGACCUCUUCGCCUCACAAAACUCUCACCCACCUACUGCUUUUAGCUCAAAUUCCAGGAAUUCAGAUGAAGUGAAGUGCUCUCAUGGGGACCAGGCGUGGGUAUGCCAGUCCACUGCCCUGCAAGUCUCAAGGGAAACCAACUGCCCAUCAGCAAGUCACACCUGCCUUGGUGGAGGCAUUGAUUGGAAGGGCCACAGGCUACAUGUCCAGUCCUGAGUGGGAGAAUCGGUGUAGGGAUGUUCUGGGGAUGCUGGCUGUGGCUAGAUCAGGUCCAGCUACAGAAGAAUAAUGAAGACUUCACCUGAGGGCUGGAAAAACAAAACCUCAAGUGUGAGGCAGCCAACCUAUUACCUCGAGGGACUGUCCCGCAGCACAGCAGGGCCAUGGGAACAGCAGCAGACACCCCGGCCUCCUCACUACCUGUGUGUGUAUUAGACACCCAGCCUCCUCACUACCUGUGUAUUAGACACCCCGGCCUUCUCACUACCUGUGUGUGUAUUA